Molecule: ribosomal RNA, 1345 nt
Filed under: uncultured Polaribacter sp.
Lineage: Bacteria; Pseudomonadati; Bacteroidota; Flavobacteriia; Flavobacteriales; Flavobacteriaceae
Description: partial 16S ribosomal RNA
Rfam family: Bacterial small subunit ribosomal RNA
Source: RNAcentral
GGAUGAACGCUAGCGGGAGGCUUAAUACAUGCAAGUCGAGGGGCAGCAUAGGACUUCGGUUCUGAUGGCGACCGGCGCACGGGUGAGUAACGCGUACACUACCUACCUUUAACAGAGGGAUAGCCCCGGGAAACUGGGAUUAAUACCACAUAGUAUUGCGCACCUCACUUUUAUGCAAUUAAAGCUCUGGCGGUUAAAGAUGGGUGUGCGUUAGAUUAGCUAGUUGGUAAGGUAAUGGCUUACCAAGGCUACGAUCUAUAGGGGGCGUGAGAGCGUGGAUCCCCACACGGGUACUGAGACACGGACCCGACUCCUACGGGAGCAGCAGUAAGGAAUAUUGGACAAUGGGCGCAAGCCUGAUCCAGCCAUCCCGCGUGAAGGAUGACGGCCCUAUGGGUUGUAAACUUCUUUUAUUAGGGAAGAAACCUCUUCAUUUAUGAAGAGCUGACGGUACCUAAAGAAUAAGCACCGGCUAACUCCGUGCCAGCAGCCGCGGUAAUACGGAGGGUGCAAGCGUUAUCUGGAAUCACUGGGCUUAAAGGGUCCGCAGGCGGUUAAUUAAGUCAGAGGUGAAAUCCCAUAGCUCAACUAUGGAACUGCCUUUGAUACUGUUUGACUUGAGUCAUAUGGAAGUAGAUAGAAUGUGUAGUGUAGCGGUGAAAUGCAUAGAUAUUACACAGAAUACCGAUUGCGAAGGCAGUCUACUACGUAUGUACUGACGCUGAGGGACGAAAGCGUGGGGAGCGAACAGGAUUAGAUACCCUGGUAGUCCACGCCGUAAACGAUGGAUACUAGUUGUUGGGAUUUAUCUCAGUGACUAAGCGAAAGUGAUAAGUAUCCCACCUGGGGAGUACGGUCGCAAGACUGAAACUCAAAGGAAUUGACGGGGGCCCGCACAAGCGGUGGAGCAUGUGGUUUAAUUCGAUGAUACGCGAGGAACCUUACCAGGGCUUAAAUGUAGUCUGACAGCUUUAGAGAUAGAGUUUUCUUCGGACAGGUGACAAGGUGCUGCAUGGUUGUCGUCAGCUCGUGCCGUGAGGUGUCAGGUUAAGUCCUAUAACGAGCGCAACCCCUGUCGUUAGUUGCCAGCAUGUUAUGAUGGGGACUCUAACGAGACUGCCUACGCAAGUAGAGAGGAAGGUGGGGAUGACGUCAAAUCAUCACGGCCCUUACGUCCUGGGCCACACACGUGCUACAAUGGUAUGGACAAUGAGCAGCCAUCUGGCAACAGAGCGCGAAUCUACAAACCAUAUCACAGUUCGGAUCGGAGUCUGCAACUCGACUCCGUGAAGCUGGAACCGCUAGUAAUCGGAUAUCAGCCAUGAUCCGGUGAAUACGUUCCCGG